This 484-nucleotide ribosomal RNA is filed under the name uncultured bacterium. RNAcentral's name for it is "partial 16S ribosomal RNA". It matches the Rfam family "Bacterial small subunit ribosomal RNA", at positions 30 to 507 of the family's 1533-position model. The record is from RNAcentral.
AUUGAACGCUGGCGGCAGGCCUAACACAUGCAAGUCGAGCGGAUGAAGGGAGCUUGCUCCUGGAUUCAGCGGCGGACGGGUGAGUAAUGCCUAGGAAUCUGCCUGGUAGUGGGGGAUAACGUCCGGAAACGGGCGCUAAUACCGCAUACGUCCUGAGGGAGAAAGUGGGGGAUCUUCGGACCUCACGCUAUCAGAUGAGCCUAGGUCGGAUUAGCUAGUUUGUGGGGUAAAGGCCUACCAAGGCGACGAUCCGUAACUGGUCUGAGAGGAUGAUCAGUCACACUGGAACUGAGACACGGUCCAGACUCCUACGGGAGGCAGCAGUGGGGAAUAUUGGACAAUGGGCGGAAGCCUGAUCCAGCCAUGCCGCGUGUGUGAAGAAGGUCUUCGGAUUGUAAAGCACUUUAAGUUGGGAGGAAGGGCAGUAAGUUAAUACCUUGCUGUUUUGACGUUACCAACAGAAUAAGCACCGGCUAACUUCGUG